RNAcentral lists this long non-coding RNA (1506 nucleotides) under Ornithorhynchus anatinus (platypus). Its description in RNAcentral is "lncRNA (ENSOANG00000046242.1)". The record is from RNAcentral. Lineage: Eukaryota; Metazoa; Chordata; Mammalia; Monotremata; Ornithorhynchidae.
AGCGGGGGCGGCGGGCCGGGCCGGGCACGCUUACGGCUUGUGCCUGCCCGAUCUGGACGGGAAAGGGGCGGAGGCGAAGGGGUCGGCGGGGGCCGGCUCUGUAGUCCGGCGGGGGAGGGAGCGGACCGGCCCGGCUCCGGCUCCGGCCGGCCCGACUCUGCAGGCGGCCGGGCCCUCGGGGCCGUAGUGCCGGGAAUACUUGGCCAGGGCCUGCGGGCGGAAGGCCUUGGCGGCGGCCGCGGGCCCCCCGGGAUCCGGGCCGGUGGCGGCGGCCGGGCCGGAUCGGGAAGGGGGUCCGGCCGUCUGGAGGAAGCCCCCCGCCGGCAGCCGGGGCCCGGGGGAGGGGGCCGAGGGGGGCCACGGAGCCGGCGGGCCGGGGGCUCCCGGGGCCCGGGCGGGGGGCUCCUCCGGGCCCUCCCUCUUGGCGAACGGGGCCCCGAGGAACACGUCCGCCUCCCGGGCCCGCCCGCCCCGGCCCAAGAACGGGGCUCGGCUGAACACGUCUCCCUCGUCGUCGUCGUCGCGGCCCGCCGCCCCGGACCACCGGAAAGGCGCCGUGGCGAAGACGUCCGGCCCGCCGGGGCCGCCCCCCUCCGCCCCGGGGGAGCCUUCCCGGGGGGCGGCGGCGGUCGCGGGGGACGACCCCCGGGCCGUCGGCGGCGUCUCGUCUUCCUCCUCCUCUUCCGAGUCCAUGAGCAAAGGGCGGGACCCGCUGGAGUCCAACACGUCUCCCUCGGGGUCGGGCCCUUCUUCCUCGCUGCUGUGGAACGAGCUGUGACCGGAAGGGCCCCCGCGGGCCAGGAAGUCCGCCUCGAGGUGGUGCGUCGGCCCGGGGCCGCCCGGGGGUCCCAGAGCGGCUGGGGGCCCGCCGCCCUCACGCCCGCCGGCUCCUCGGACGACGACGGGCGCUCUCUGGAGACCUACGUGGGGCACAAGAACACGGCGUCAGUCUGGCGGGAGGCCGGGGUCGGGGGGGACGGCAGGCGGCUCCACGCCCGGCCCCCCGACACGUCCCACGGCCGAGACGACGGACACGGAGAAUGGAAAAGGAGAGACGGCGAGGCAGGGGAUCGGGCGGGGACGCGGCCCACGGGCCGGAACACGACCCGGCCCCGGCCCCGCGUGCCGGGAGGUGGAGAAAGGGAGAUGAAAAUGUUAGACACGGCGACAUCCAACGCAACUCGACGUUCCCCGGCGUCCGGCCGGGAGGACCCCUCGACCCGAUUCCCGUGUGGACCCGGCCCGCGGAGAGGUUCCGGGACGGCUCGGGAGAGCGCGGGCCCGGAGUCAGGGGACCCGGGUCCCGGUCCCGGCUCGGCCCCGGCCGGCUGUGUGACCUUGCGUGAGUCCCCUGACCUCUCCGGGCCUCGAUGUCCUCGUCGCCGAUGGCGGCCUCUCCCUGGGAUGUGGCGUGAGGAUAAAGCGAGAACGCCGAGGGGAGAGCGCUUCGGGAAAAAUAAGCGCGCCCUCGGAAAAGCCCGGUGCUUGACACACAGUAAGCGCUAA